AUACGGAGGGUGCAAGCGUUACUCGGAAUUACUGGGCGUAAAGCGCGCGCAGGCGGUCUUUUAAGUUGGAUGUGAAAGCCUACGGCUCAACCGUAGAACUGCAUCCAAAACUAUUAGACUAGAGUGUGGGAGAGGAAGAUGGAAUUAGUUGUGUAGGGGUAAAAUCCGUAGAGAUAACUAGGAAUACCAAAAGCGAAGGCAAUCUUCUGGAACACUACUGACGCUGAGGCGCGAAAGCGUGGGGAGCAAACAGGAUUAGAUACCCCAGUAGUCC
Molecule: ribosomal RNA, 274 nt
Filed under: uncultured bacterium
Lineage: Bacteria
Description: partial 16S ribosomal RNA
Rfam family: Bacterial small subunit ribosomal RNA
Source: RNAcentral